RNAcentral lists this ribosomal RNA (49 nucleotides) under Plectognathotrema kamegaii. Its description in RNAcentral is "partial 28S ribosomal RNA". Lineage: Eukaryota; Metazoa; Platyhelminthes; Trematoda; Plagiorchiida; Zoogonidae. The record is from RNAcentral.
UGACCUCGGAUCAGACGUGAAUACCCGCUGAACUUAAGCAUAUCAAUAA